RNAcentral lists this ribosomal RNA (430 nucleotides) under Pseudomonadota bacterium. RNAcentral's name for it is "Proteobacteria bacterium partial 16S ribosomal RNA". It matches the Rfam family "Bacterial small subunit ribosomal RNA", at positions 355 to 776 of the family's 1533-position model. Lineage: Bacteria; Pseudomonadati; Pseudomonadota. The record is from RNAcentral.
UGGGGAAUAUUGGACAAUGGGGGGAACCCUGAUCCAGCCAUGCCGCGUGUGUGAAGAAGGCCUUAUGGUUGUAAAGCACUUUAAGCGAGGAGGAGGGUACUGGUAUUAAUACUACCAGGUACUGGACGUUACUCGCAGAAUAAGCACCGGCUAACUCUGUGCCAGCAGCCGCGGUAAUACAGAGGGUGCGAGCGUUAAUCGGAUUUACUGGGCGUAAAGCGUGCGUAGGCGGCUAAUUGAGUCGGAUGUGAAAUCCCCGAGCUUAACUUUGGAAUUGCAUUGGAUACUGGUUAGCUAGAGUGUGGGAGAGGAUGGUAGAAUUCCAGGUGUAGCGGUGAAAUGCGUAGAGAUCUGGAGGAAUACCGAUGGCGAAGGCAGCCAUCUGGCCUAACACUGACGCUGAGGUACGAAAGCAUGGGGAGCAAACAGG